Molecule: long non-coding RNA, 217 nt
Filed under: Elaeis guineensis (African oil palm)
Lineage: Eukaryota; Viridiplantae; Streptophyta; Magnoliopsida; Arecales; Arecaceae
Description: long non-coding RNA (EGUI_LNC015181)
Source: RNAcentral
CUGGAGCCCGUCUGCUGUAGAAAUUCAUUUGGAAUCCAUCCGCUGUAGAAGUUCGGACGGAGUCUGGCUCUUGUAGGAGCUCAGAUGAAAUUCAGAAGGUGGUUGAUCACCACAGAAACUUGGAUAGAGUCUGGUUACUGUAGAAGUCCUGCUGCUGGAGAAGCUCGGACAUUGACGAAGUCCGGAAGAAGCUCGGAGAGAAAUCGAUCGUGACAGG